CCUACGGGCGGCAGCAGUGGGGAAUAUUGAGCAAUGGAGGCAACUCUGACCCAGCAACGCCGCGUGAAUGAUGAAGGUCUUCGGAUUGUAAAGUUCUUUUCUAAGGGAAGAAGAAAGUGACGGUACCUUAGGAAUAAGCCUCGGCUAACGACGUGCCAGCAGCCGCGGUAAUACGUAGGAGGCAAGCGUUAUCCGGAAUGACUGGGCGUAAAGGGUGCGUAGGUGGUUUGACAAGUUAGUAGCGCAACUCCGGAGCUAAACUUCGGAACUACUACUAAAACUGUUGGACUUGAGUGCAGGAGGGGCAAAUGGAAUGCCUAGGGUAGCGGUGGAAUGAGUAGAUAUUAGGAGGAACACCAGUGGCGAAGGCGAUUUGCUGGACUGUAACUGACACUGAGGCACGAAAGCGUGGGGAGCAAACAGGAUUAGAUACCCGUGUAGUC
This 443-nucleotide ribosomal RNA is filed under the name uncultured bacterium. RNAcentral's name for it is "partial 16S ribosomal RNA". It matches the Rfam family "Bacterial small subunit ribosomal RNA", at positions 338 to 795 of the family's 1533-position model. The record is from RNAcentral.